Molecule: long non-coding RNA, 568 nt
Organism: Neopsephotus bourkii (Bourke's parrot)
Lineage: Eukaryota; Metazoa; Chordata; Aves; Psittaciformes; Psittacidae
Exons: 4
Source: RefSeq, a predicted model, not a curated record
GGGGAGAUACAUAAAGAAAUGAAAUGGGGAGGAAGUGCAGGAGGGGUGGUGGUUUGGGUAGAAGUGAUAGGUUAAAUCUCAGUCCCAGAACUGGCUGUGCUUUGAGCUUGUUUGCAGGUGGGUUUUCAGGAGGAUCUAGUUUCUAAUUCUGAAAUUCAAUCUGCAGGGUCUAAUUCAAAUCUCUCUUUUCCUGCUUCCUGCGGUACUUCAGAUGCAGUAACUCCAGAUACUGUACAAAGGGAUGGCAAGUCCUUCCAAAGGGCAGCCCCUGCUCCUCCCCAGGCUCAGCUAGGCUCCAUCCUGUGCAGGCUUGGAACAGAACACCUAAGGUCUCCUGGGAUCGUUUCAGAGUUCUGGAGAUUGAAUUUAGACGUGUCCUUAGAAACCUUGUGAAAUCAGGACUGAAGAGAAUAAGAGCAUUGAGCCUGAUUUACUCUCUAGUUUUCAUGAAUAUCACACUCUGGGCAUGUAUUAUCCCACUUUCUAUGCUCAGGAGCAAGAACUCUCCUUGUAGUGGCCGACCGUGUCCUUGAGUGAUGUAUGAGGAUCUCACCAGUGAAGGACCAGC